Molecule: non-coding RNA, 31 nt
Filed under: Macaca fascicularis (crab-eating macaque)
Lineage: Eukaryota; Metazoa; Chordata; Mammalia; Primates; Cercopithecidae
Also listed under: 1 other name
Source: RNAcentral
UAUUUAUUGGUAAUCAAACAAAGAAGCAGGU